RNAcentral lists this ribosomal RNA (497 nucleotides) under uncultured bacterium. RNAcentral describes it as "partial 16S ribosomal RNA". It matches the Rfam family "Bacterial small subunit ribosomal RNA", at positions 28 to 507 of the family's 1533-position model. The record is from RNAcentral.
GAUGAACGCUGGCGGCGUGCCUAAUACAUGCAAGUCGAGCGAACAGUUGGGAGGUUUGCCCCUAUAGCGAGAGGGGGGGGGGGGUGAAACACAUGGGGAAACCGUCUGUAAGAGUGUGAGAACAUUUGGAAACCGCAGAUAAUACAGGAGAACAUAGAAGAAAACAUGGGCUUCUAUAGAAAAGGGGCGUUUAGCUAUCACUUAUAGAUGGACCCGCGCCGAAUUAGCUAGUUGGUAAGGUAACGGCUUACCAAGGCGACGAUCCGUAGCCGACCUGAGAGGUGGACGGGCCACACUGGACCGGGGACAGGGCCCAGACUCUUACGGGAGGCACCAUAAGGGAACAUCCGGCAUUGGGGGAAAGCCGGACGGAGCAAGGCCGCUGGGGGGAGGAAGGCUUUCGGUUCGUAAACUCUGUUGAUUGGGGAGGAACAGUAGUGUUAGAAUAGGGCGACGUCUUGACGGUACCUAAUCAGAAAGCCACGGCUAACUACGUG